AUUGAACGCUGGCGGCAUGCCUUACACAUGCAAGUCGAACGGUAACAGGUUUUCGGAUGCUGACGAGUGGCGAACGGGUGAGUAAUAUAUCGGAACAUACCCUAGAGUGGGGGAUAACGUAGCGAAAGUUACGCUAAUACCGCAUACGAUCUGAGGAUGAAAGUGGGGGCUCGCAAGACCUCAUGCUCAUGGAGUGGCCGAUAUCUGAUUAGCUAGUUGGUGAGGUAAAGGCUCACCAAGGCGACGAUCAGUAGCUGGUUUGAGAGAACGACCAGCCACACUGGAACUGAGACACGGUCCAGACUCCUACGGGAGGCAGCAGUGGGGAAUUUUGGACAAUGGGGGCAACCCUGAUCCAGCAAUGCCGCGUGAGUGAAGAAGGCCUGGUUGUAAGACUCUUUGUCUAGGAAGAAAAGGUAGGUUCUAAUACGAGACACU
Molecule: ribosomal RNA, 438 nt
Filed under: uncultured bacterium
Lineage: Bacteria
Description: bacterial SSU rRNA
Rfam family: Bacterial small subunit ribosomal RNA
Source: RNAcentral